RNAcentral lists this ribosomal RNA (791 nucleotides) under Polistes metricus. Its description in RNAcentral is "partial 16S rRNA". Lineage: Eukaryota; Metazoa; Arthropoda; Insecta; Hymenoptera; Vespidae. The record is from RNAcentral.
AAUUAUUAUUAUUAAUUUUUAAUUGGAAGUGAAAUGUUAAAGCGAUUUUAAAUAUAUCUAGUUUUUUUAGAAUUGAAUUUAAUUCAGCUUUAAAAUUAAAAUUUUAUUAAUAUUAAUUUUUAAAUAUAAUUAAUUUUAAAGUAAAUAUGUUCGGGAUAAAUUGAAUAUAUAAAAUUUAUAAAUUUAAAUUAAUUUUAGAUUUAAAAGUAGUUAUAAAAUUAUAUUUCUUUGAAGAAAAUGUUUUAAUUUAUAUAUUAUUAAUAAAUUAAAAAUUUAUUGAAAAAUUUAAUUUUUUUUUAAUUAUUUAUAAAAAUUUAUUUUUAAAUUAUUUUUAAAUAAUAAUAAUGAUUAUAUUAGUAUAAAUAUUUAGUUUGAUUAAUUAAUAAUUUAAUUAAAAUUAAUUUAAGGAAUUAGGCAAAAUAUUUUAAUUUUAAAUGUAUAUUUACCUGUUUAUCAAAAACAUGUCUUAUUGAAUUUAAUAAUAAGUUUGUUCUGCCCAUUGAAUUAAAAUUUAAAAGGCUGCAGUAUAUUGACUGUACAAAGGUAGCAAAAUCAAUAGUUUUUUAAUUGAAAACUUGAAUGAAAGAAUUGAUAAAAUAUAAACUGUCUCAAAUUAAUGAAUUUGAAUUUAAAUUGAAAGUUAAAAUGCUUUUAUGAAUUUAUUAGACGAUAAGACCCUAAGAAUUUUAAAAUAUAAAUUUAUAUAAUAAAUUUUGUAAUUUUUAAAUAUAUGAAUUUAUAUUUUUUUAUUGGGAGGGUAAUUAAAUUUUUUAACUUUAAUUUUUUAUUAA